AGGACAAACGCUGGCGGCGUGCGUAACACAUGCAAGUCGAACGGGGGAUGGGGUUUCGGCCCCAUCCCGAGUGGCGGACGGGUGCGUAACACGUGGAUGACCUGCCCUUGAGUGGGGGAUACCCGCCAGAAAUGGCGGCUAAGACCGCAUGUGGUCACCGGGGGAGCCCGGUGAAGAAAGCCCGCAAGGGCGUUGGAGGAGGGGCCCGCGGCCGAUUAGCUUGUUGGCGAGGUAAUGGCUCACCAAGGCAAUGAUCGGUAGCCGGUCUGAGAGGAUGGCCGGCCACACUGGAACUGAGACACGGUCCAGACUCCUACGGGAGGCAGCAGUGGGGAAUCUUGCGCAAUGGGCGAAAGCCUGACGCAGCGACGCCGCGUGGGGGAUGAAGCUUCUCGGAGUGUAAACCCUUUCGACCCGGACGAAACGCCGUAAGGCUUGACGGUACGGUAUAAGAAGCCCCGGCUAACUACGUCGCCAGCAGCCGC
RNAcentral lists this ribosomal RNA (485 nucleotides) under uncultured bacterium. RNAcentral describes it as "SSU rRNA". It matches the Rfam family "Bacterial small subunit ribosomal RNA", at positions 26 to 518 of the family's 1533-position model. The record is from RNAcentral.